This 965-nucleotide ribosomal RNA is filed under the name uncultured Pseudomonadota bacterium. RNAcentral describes it as "bacterial SSU rRNA". It matches the Rfam family "Bacterial small subunit ribosomal RNA", at positions 55 to 1065 of the family's 1533-position model. The record is from RNAcentral. Lineage: Bacteria; Pseudomonadati; Pseudomonadota.
AUGCAAGUCGAACGCAGUAGCAAUACUGAGUGGCAGACGGGUGAGUAACAUGUGGGAAUCUGCCUUGUGGUUCAGGACAACAUUGGGAAACCGAUGCUAAUACUGGAUAAGCCCUUACGGGGAAAGUUUUAAUGCCAUAAGAUGAGCCCGCAUUUGAUUAGUUAGUUGGUGAGGUAAUGGCUCACCAAGACAAUGAUCAAUAGCUGAUCUGAGAGGAUGAUCAGCCACACUGGGACUGAGACACGGCCCAGACUCCUACGGGAGGCAGCAGUGGGGAAUCUUGCACAAUGGAGGAAACUCUGAUGCAGCGAUGCCGCGUGAGUGAAGAAGGCCUUUGGGUUGUAAAGCUCUUUUGUAGGGGAAGAUAAUGACUGUACCCUAAGAAUAAGGUCCGGCUAACUUCGUGCCAGCAGCCGCGGUAAUACGAAGGGACCUAGCGUAGUUCGGAAUUACUGGGCGUAAAGCGCGCGUAGGCCGUUGAGUUAGUUAAUUGUGAAAUCCCAAAGCUUAACUUUGGAACUGCAAUUAAAACUGCUCGACUAGAGUUUGAUAGAGGAAAGCGGAAUACAUAGUGUAGAGGUGAAAUUCGUAGAUAUUAUGUAGAACACCAGUUGCGAAGGCGGCUUUCUGGAUCAACACUGACGCUGAGGCGCGAAAGUAUGGGUAGCAAAGAGGAUUAGAUACCCUCGUAGUCCAUACCAUAAACGAUGAUUGCUAGAUGUUGGAAAUUUAUUUUCAGUAUCGCAGCUAACGCAUUAAGCAAUCCGCCUGGGGAGUACGACCGCAAGGUUAAAACUCAAAUGAAUUGACGGGGACCCGCACAAGCGGUGGAGCAUGUGGUUUAAUUCGAAGAUACGCGCAGAACCUUACCAACCCUUGACAUGUCUGUCGCGAGUUUAGGAAACUAGACUUUUCGGUUCGGCCGGACAGAACACAGGUGCUGCAUGGCUGUCGUCAGCUCGUGU